GAAUUAAAUUCAAAGAUGAACACUAACUCCGCUGCGUAUUGGUCCACGUUCUCAGACGAUGACUUCUCUGUUUCGUCUGACGAAGAAGACAGCCGUUACAACCCCCACUCACACCUGUUUGUGUUUGGCUACGCAGACCCUUUAGCUGAGGUGUUUCAGGCGUGUCUGUGUAAUUACUGCUACGAGAACAAACUCAUUAAUCUGGAGCAACGAUCGUCUCAAACAUGAACGGCUUCAGUAGGCUUAUUGGCUCCCUAACUAACAUUAUUUCAUUCUCUGUAAUAAACUCAUUCUCAGAGGUAGUUGGUAAAUUCAGCCAUUCUUGGGAGUUCCAAAAUGUUCUCUCCUGCCAGUGAUGCAACAAUGCCAAUAAUCUGUUCCAUUUUUGUCAAACAAUUGUACAGACUAACAGACUUCUAGUCUUUCAUGUUAUUUAUUAUUGGGAUCCCCAUGAUCUGUUACAAAUCAGCAGCUACUCUUCCUGGGGUCCAGACACUCUAAAGUUGUAUCCAAGUAUAUUAGACAUCUCUUUACAGGACAGGGGAACAGUGGUGGUAGCAGUUGAUGGGCUUUUUGGUUUGCCUUGGAGAAAGUCAUCUGGAUCAAGUUAUGAGCCACCAAAACAUGGGGAAAAGCACUUUGCCAACCAAGCUGAUGUGGAUCGAUUCAUUUGUAAGCCCAUAUCACCAACAGAGGUAAAGUGAUAACAUUAUGCCUGAAUGUAAUAUGAGCUGCAUUUUAAGGACACCUUCCAUUGUUUCCUUAUGCACAACUGGAAGGGAAUGCGAAUGAAAUCUAUAAUUUUUUGAAGUCAUGAUAUCAAACCUGGCCACUAAUUCAUAUUUAAAUGAUGAAGUUGUCCCUCCACUUCAUCUGUUUAACUCAGUGGUCUUAUGGUUGGAGACGGUAUGUUGGUAUUGUGUAUGUUGAAUGUAAUAUUAUUGGUUGUCUCAUGCAACAUCCACUUAGACACUGAACCUGGUACAACUGUGAUCUGCUUCAGGCAACAGCUCAGUACGGUAUACCUGUACUGUACUUGAUAUAAAAACAAAUGUUUAGGGUUACCAUAGAUUUCAGGCGGGCAACACCAUCAGGUCCAAACCCAAAGCAAGGAAAUUGGAUGAGACUGGCGUGUUGGGGGGGUUUGCUGCAAGCAUCAGCCCCCACUUCACUUCUUGAACAUAGAAAAGGGUGAAAGGUGGGAUGCAGUAAUAAUGAGGGUUUUUCAUUUUCUUUUUCCAUAUUUUUUGCAGUGUUUGAUUCAUUUAGUUUGCAAAUAAUGAUGUAUCUCUACAGUAGUUUGUCAAAUGCAGUGUACCUGCUGAGAGAUGAUGAAGGAGGAGUUGAAAGGAAAGAAGAUCAAUCUCAUCUUCAUGGAAAACAUUGAUGGCAGAUGCAGCCACACGUGCAAGUAAUUAACCUUUUUUUAUUCACGAUCUCAUUGACUGUAACAUUUGAAUAGCAGUUUUCACCAAAAAUAGUUUUAACAUGAACAUUUUGUACAUAACUGUAUAGAGAAACCUUCCUGAAUUGAAUCAUGGGACCAAAUUCAUUGUGCCAGAUUUCCAUGCUUAUGGAUAGGACUUGCCAUGUCAGGCACAUGAACAUGAUCAUUAUAUUGUCAGUAGGUAUUUAUUCAUAUUUUAUAAGGUUUAACCAAAUAACCCUUUUACCAUGAUGACUCCGUCCCAUCGUAUUGACCUCCUGACUGAUGCACUUCUCCGCCAUGGGAAAAAGAUGCACCAGAGGCAAAAAUUGUACACUUGGAAUCGUUAUUAAUUUAUGCUGGUUGACUAUAGUGAUGUUCCUAACAUUUCCUGUUUUUUGUUUUAGUGGACUCUCUGCCACAGAGGCUUUCCCAAGCAACAGAAGUUGCAACAGAGGCAGAAAGGGAAAUGGCAGAAAUUGCACAGUCUCUUCCAGGUAAACCACUGUAUCAAUAAUCUAAGCAUAGAAUUUCAGUAUUGAUUAGAAAUGGGAUCCUCGAAGGGGAGUGCUCCAGGGAGAGAGAGACACAGCUGCAUGUGAGCUCUCGCAUUUUUCAACAUGUUUUUUUUUUUACAAAAAGAUAGAUUUGGAGUUAGAUAAACUUGGAUUUUUCGGGCAGGGACUUAUACAGGAUCCUACCCUCUACAGCAUAACCUUCACUCCAGAUCAAAACUCCAAGUCUACAACAUAAUUUUGGACAAAACUACCUGGAAGGAUUAGAUCUACCAAGUAUUCCUUUUUCCAGCGAUGGCAAACAAACAGCAGAGACCUGAGAACCUAGAACUGAGACAGACCAGAUACAACUUCAAUUAGCAGUGAGGUGUGAAGUGAGAGGUGUUGAAGCCUUUGAGCCCAACAAAUGGCAGGCGUAUCACAGGCUACCCCAUCCCAAAUCCAGAGGCCUUUGAAGCUGUUCAGAGACCAUCCACUGCCAUUUUCUACAAGAAAUCUGCCUCCAGAAAUAAAAGCUACUCCCAAGUGGGUGACCACUACUUCCGUUGCCUGCUGCACUGCUGCUUGGAUUCCACCUGGCGAUCUGUUCACCGUCAGCCCUGGCUUGUCUCCCCCUGUCUGGUACCGGUACCCCCACCACAAUCCCUCCUCUCUCCCGAGCUUUCUCUCCCAGCACACAGGCACUGUUGGGGCGAGUGACUGUGAACUUACAACGGCUAGCCCCAAGUCAUUAUAUAUUUUUUCUUGUGCAGUUUGCUAUUUUGCUAGUUGCCUCAUGACUCCUGCAUGCUUUGUUGACUAUGAACUUUCUUGUUUACCCAACCGUGGGACAGACCAAGUUUGUUUCCACACUCGGGACUCUCUGCUACCAUGUUGUGUUACUGCCAUGUUGUGUUGCUUCCAUGUUGUUGUCAUGUUGUGUUGCUACCAUGCUGUGUUGUUUUAUUAGGUGUCUCUUGAUGUAGUGUUGUGUUGUCUCUCUUGUCGUGAUGUGUGUUUUGUCAUAUAUUUUUAUUUCAUUUAUUUAUAUUUUGAAUCCCAGCCCUCAUCCCCGCAGGAGGCCUUUUGCCUUUUGGUAGGCCGUCAUUGUAAAUAAGAAUUUGUUCUUAACUGACUUGGUUAAAUAAAGGUUACAUUCAAAAUAAAAUAAAUGUUGUUACAUCUGUCACUGUUGUUAUGUUUUAGGAAAAACACUGGACACCAUUAGGGAUUGGAGCAGGAGUGUCAGUGUCACCCUUUAGAGGCAAAAACCUACUCUGUCUUGGGGGGAGCAAUAUGUUGCAAUGCCCCAGCAACAUACCAUUGCAAUGUAAGAGCAAUUGUAUAGCAGCAUAUGUCAUUUUUUUGUUUUUAUGUUUCGAUUAGAUUACCUUUUUUUAAAUCUGUAUUUUCCGUUAUCAAUAGAUGAUAAAGGUAUUGCCAACAGCCUGUCCGAAAGCCUUGCCACAGUGGGUAGUAGCAUACAAAAUGUGAAGGACUACAACCUAAGGAGACAAGAGAGUGGCCGUGUGAAGAGAAGAGCUACAUUGAGGAUGUAUUCACUGUCAAGAAGUUCUACUCACAUGAGCAGGAACUGAUCGUCGAGGCCUUACAACAUAAUGAGAGCAAGAUGGAUUUUCUCUUGGGGCAAGAGCUGUCCUUGCUGGAAAGCUUGAUGAGUACCAGCAUGCAGAAGGACAAUGUGAAUUGUUCAGACAAGCUUUUUUUGAGGGCAGUGGCAGAAAGCUAGAAGUGGAGGACAUCGAGGAAGUGGAUGAGGAUAAUGACUAUGAAGUGAGCCUGGUAUACCCCAACCUGAGUCUAAUGGAAUAGACAGGUUUGCUUCCUCCAAAGUAUUGUCUUUUCGUUGACCUGUUAGUUGUGUAGUUUGUAAAUAUCAAUAGAUAUUAUAAUUUGAACCUCUAGAUCACCAUUGACAUCUUUAAAUAAAAUAAUAUCUUCUGCAGCUGAUCCUGCCUGCAACAUUUAACCGUCCAAUAAUGGGUUUAGCACCUAAGGAUUCUAGCUUUAAGGCUUCAGUAUGUAGCCUACAGAGAAACACAUUUAGAGAUCAAGCCUUGUAGACUCGUUAUUUCUGAUAAAUUUACUUUGCUUGAGAGAGGAGACUGGAGGCCAUAGUGUGGUCGAACCAUUAUAGUUCCUAAGCACUGAAACAGCUUGAUUGUAUUACCUUUAAUGAUAAGAAUAAGCUCAUAUUUGAUUGCUCAGCAAGGUUAUGUCCACAUGCGAAGCCAACAGGCUCUGGGCAAGAGCUUAAAGACCUUGAAUAUGUUCAGCUGGAGGACAUAAAAUACAAUUUGACACCAAUACAUUGCUGGGAAUUGCUUCAGUCCUUCAAGAAAAGAGGUGAGAUCUUUACUGAUAAAUGUAACAUAUUUAAUUGUUAUGAAAAAAGUGCUAUCUAGAACCGAUAAUGGUUCUUUGGCUGUCCCCAUAGGAGAACCCUUUGAAGAACCCUUUUUGAUUUCAGGUAGAACUCUUUUGGGUUCCAUUUAGCACCCUUUCCACAGAGGGUUCUACUGGAACCAAAAAGGGUUAUCCUAUGAGGACCGCUAAAGAACCCUUUUGGAACCCUGUUUUAUAAGAGUGUACACACACAAGGUUAAAAAGGUUCUGUAAAUAGUUCAUUUGUUUGCCCUCAAAAUAAAUGGUUUAUGAUAUGUGGGACUGAGGCAUAUCCAAUAAAGGGACAGAAAUUACAAAAAAUACAUAAAAGAAAGUAAAAAACUGAAGUAAUAUUUCUGUGAAUUGUUUGUUUGUCCUCUUGUGCUGGUAUGGAGUCCAGCGCAUAGCCUAACAGACAGUUUUUUCUUUGUAUUUCUUUAAAGGAAAAUGAAGAAUGGAUAGGCUGAAUUGUUUUGAUCUGUAAAUAGUUUGUCGGUGUAUUUUCUGACGAUCUGUCCAUCAGCAAACAUGCGUAGCUGGCAAAAAGAUUAAGAAAGAUUAUUCGUUUCUUUUGAUUGUACAAUGUUGUGGCAUAAGUGUCAGGAGAAUAAAAGUUUUACUCCUCUUUGAAGUGAAGCAAUAUAUGGGGCAAUGGAAUACCUUUCUGUAUCUGGAAAUAAUGCAGGCAGCUGUAGCCAGCCAUGCAGGGCUCUAUGCUGACCUUUUUUACAAGGAGUAUGUGUGCGCCUACGUUGAAAAAUGUAGGCACAAACAAAUACAUUUAGGAGCACAAUGAAACAUUUGGUGUUAAAUCUAGAAUCCUUUACAUUUUUCUAGGAAACCCUGGUGCUCCUAAAUAAACAUUUCAGGUCAAACAGCAAAAUAUUUAGGCGCAUAUGCGAGUAAAGUGGUCACACUGUAGAGCCCUGCCAUGCAUUAUUAUCUAGUCUAGUUGAUUGAUAAUUGAAUAGAACUAAGUAUAUAAUCUGUAUUUUCAUCUGUAUUUUCAGCUGUUGUCACAUCCUGACCAGCAGAGGGAGUAGUUGUUUAGUAUUUUUGGUCAGGACGUGGCAGAAGUACUGUGUUGUAUGUGUUUUUCUGGUAUUUCUGUUUCUAUGUUGGUCUGUGUGGCUCCCGAUCAGGGAGAGCUGGUUAUUGUUGUUCCUGAUUGGGAGUCAUAUAUUAGGAGUGUGUUUGUCACCUGGGUUUUGUGGGUUUUAUUUCGCACUGCUACGUAUAGUGAUAGCCUGUGAAACUGUCUCCUGUCGUUCUAGUUUGUUUUUCCGUGUGCAUCAAACUUAAUAAAAUGAUGUGGAACACGCAACCCGCUGCGUAUUGGUCUGAGUGAUUUCUCCUUAUCAUCAGACGACGAAGUUUGUGACAGAACAACCCACCAAACCAAGACCAAGCAGCGGAGAAAGGAGCGGCAGGUUGAGGAUAUGGACUAUCGUGAGAGAUGGAGUUGGGAACAGAUUCUGGCCGCAGAGGGCCUGUGGAGGAAGGCUGGUGAGGACCGGGAACGCUACCGGGGUACACGACUGGCGAGGAAGCCGGAGAGGCACCCCCAAGAUUUAGCUACCCGUGAGUAUAUGGAGGAGCGUAUGGAGUGGAGGGCGCCGUGUUUUGCUAAGAUGCGCACAAUCUCGCCCAUACGCACGCACAGGCCGGUGCGCGCUAUUCCAGUCCCUCGCAGAUGCCGCGCUAGAGUGGGCAUCCAGCCUGGUAGGAGGAUGCCUGUGCAGCGUGUCUGGUCACCGGUACGCUUCCUCGGACCAGGCUACUCUACUCACGGUAACCAUCAAGCCCCUGCACAGCCCAGUUCGCUCGUGCAGGGCAGCUAGUUCCAUCCAGCCAGGAUGGGUUGUGCAGGAGGUGCUGUCAAGGCCACCUGUGCACCUCCAUGGCCCAGUCUUUCCGGUUCCCGCCUCUCGUGCUGACCCGGAAGUGAGUACCUCCAGUCUGGCACGACCAGUACCAGCACCACGGAUCAAGCUUCCCAUGGGUCAGCCUAGUCCUAGUCAGCCUGUUCCCGCUCCUCGCACUAGCCAUGGGGUGCGUGGUUUAAAACUGGCAGUUCCAGUACCAGCACCACGCAUUAGGUUUAUAGUGCAUAAUAGUAGUUCCUCUCGGCCGGUUCCUGCUUCCCGCACUAGCCCUAGGGUGCGUGUCUUCAGCCUGGUACCUCCUCUACCAGCCCCACGCAUCAGGCUUCCAGUGCGUCAGCCCAGCCUCGAGAGUAUCCGGCACCAGUGUGCUGCAGUCCAGAGUAUCCGGCACCAGUGUGCUGCAGUCCAGAGUAUCCGGCACCAGUGUGCUGCAGUCCAGAGUAUCCGGCACCAGUGUGCUGCAGUCCAGAGUAUCCGGCACCAGUGUGCUGCAGUCCAGAGUAUCCGGCAACAGUGUCCAGUCCGGAGCUGAGGGAGUCUGCUUGCGACCUGGAGCCGAGGGAGUCUGCCUGCGACCCGGAGCCGAGGGAGUCUGCCUGCGACCCGGAGCCGAGGGAGUCUGCCUGCGACCCGGAGCCGAGGGAGUCUGCCUGCGACCCGGAACCGAAGGAGUCUGCCUGCGACCCGGAACUGAAUAAGUGUUUGAUUAACUGUGAACUGAGUCUGCCUACAGCAUUAAACGGAAUGAGUCUGCCUAUGAUCCGGAACGGAAUGAGUCUGCCUAUGAUCCGGAACGGAAUGAGUCUGCCUAUGAUCCGGAACGGAAUGAGUCUGCCUACGACCUGGAACUGAGUGAGUCUGACUACGGUCCGGAGCCAAGCAAGUCUGUCUACAGUCUGGAGGGCAGUAGGCCCGAACCAGAGCCACCUCCAGGAUAGGUGGGUUGGGGAGGAGGGGUGUAGCAGAAGUGCUGUCGUUGACGGCAGCCACCCUCCCUUCCCUCCCUUUUUUUUGUUUAGGGGGUAUUUGGUUUUGUUUUUUUGUUGUGGUAUUGGGGAUUUUUGUGGUUUCUUUUUUAGGUGCAUUCGGGGUAUGCACCUUUAGGGGGGGGUACUGUCACGUCCUGACCAGCAGAGGGAGUAGUUGUUUAGUAUUUUUGGUCAGGACGUGGCAGAAGUACUGUGUUGUAUGUAUUUUUCUGGUAUUUCUGUUUCUAUGUUGGUCUGUGUGGCUCCCGAUCAGGGACAGCUGGUUAUUGUUGUUCCUGAUUGGGAGUCAUAUAUUAGGAGUGUGUUUGUCACCUGGGUUUUGUGGGUUUUAUUUCGCACUGCUACGUAUAGUGAUAGCCUGUGAAACUGUCUCCUGUCGUUCUAGUUUGUUUUUCCGUGUGCAUCAAACUUAAUAAAAUGAUGUGGAACACGCAA
Molecule: non-coding RNA, 7636 nt
Organism: Salmo salar (Atlantic salmon)
Lineage: Eukaryota; Metazoa; Chordata; Actinopteri; Salmoniformes; Salmonidae
Source: RefSeq, a predicted model, not a curated record